RNAcentral lists this ribosomal RNA (700 nucleotides) under Streptomyces sp. I12A-01953. RNAcentral's name for it is "bacterial SSU rRNA". It matches the Rfam family "Bacterial small subunit ribosomal RNA", at positions 99 to 813 of the family's 1533-position model. The record is from RNAcentral. Lineage: Bacteria; Bacillati; Actinomycetota; Actinomycetes; Kitasatosporales; Streptomycetaceae.
CGAACGGGUGAGUAACACGUGGGCAAUCUGCCCUGCACUCUGGGACAAGCCCUGGAAACGGGGUCUAAUACCGGAUAUGACUGUCCACCGCAUGGUGGAUGGUGUAAAGCUCCGGCGGUGCAGGAUGAGCCCGCGGCCUAUCAGCUAGUUGGUGAGGUAGUGGCUCACCAAGGCGACGACGGGUAGCCGGCCUGAGAGGGCGACCGGCCACACUGGGACUGAGACACGGCCCAGACUCCUACGGGAGGCAGCAGUGGGGAAUAUUGCACAAUGGGCGAAAGCCUGAUGCAGCGACGCCGCGUGAGGGAUGACGGCCUUCGGGUUGUAAACCUCUUUCAGCAGGGAAGAAGCGAAAGUGACGGUACCUGCAGAAGAAGCGCCGGCUAACUACGUGCCAGCAGCCGCGGUAAUACGUAGGGCGCAAGCGUUGUCCGGAAUUAUUGGGCGUAAAGAGCUCGUAGGCGGCUUGUCACGUCGGUUGUGAAAGCCCGGGGCUUAACCCCGGGUCUGCAGUCGAUACGGGCAGGCUAGAGUUCGGUAGGGGAGAUCGGAAUUCCUGGUGUAGCGGUGAAAUGCGCAGAUAUCAGGAGGAACACCGGUGGCGAAGGCGGAUCUCUGGGCCGAUACUGACGCUGAGGAGCGAAAGCGUGGGGAGCGAACAGGAUUAGAUACCCUGGUAGUCCACGCCGUAAACGGUGGG